GAUCUCAACUGAAAACCGGAGCACAUCGAAGGCCGUGGAGGUUACGGGGAGGGAGGGCGGCGGCGACAGAGGAGCCUCCUCACUCAUCUAAAGAAGGAAAGAAAAUGACACUGGUAGUAAUUAUAAUGAUCUCAUCACGAGAGAUGUUCUUCAACAGAAUCUGAAAACAUGACCCUGAUGCUCUACUUUGCACUUGUGGAUUUUAAUGGGGCGACCAACAUGCUUUUAUCAGUGCGAAUGGUGCAGUUAUCUUCCAUAUAAUCCAACUUUUUACCUGGUGAAGAGAUGAAUUAAGCAGGUUGGACAGCUGCAGGAGGUCGUGGAAGCUCUUGGAUAAGUUCUUCAGCCUGUCUACCUGAGCCAUCAUUAACUUCAGCAUGCUGCAGAGGGAGGAUGUGUGGGAGGUACGAGAGGAUGAAUGGACAAACAGCUCAGCCAAUAGCAGCAGGUGGAGACAAGUUCCAGGGGGACAGGGACGAACUGGCAUCAGCAGUGACUCACUCCCUCUGUGAAUCGAUCUGUGGUCCUAUACAGUGACCGUGCAACCUGCAUUACAUCACCAGGUUUCACAACAAAACAGCCAUCGACUCACCAGCUCCGUGUCAUCCCAGAGUGGAGGAGCCCUGAUGCUGACACACUAGGACUCUGUUACCCUUUGUCACGUAGUCUGACAUUUUCUAGGAUGUGACCCACUGGUGCUGACCAGUAGACGCACAGAGAGCACAGACAUCUUCAGCACACAGCUGUAAACGUGUGACGUGAGAGAGGACAUCUAUUUCACUUCAGUGCAGCUGUGACCAUGUUUCCAUCAGGCUCAUGUCAGGAGCCUUAACGGUCACCCUCCCUCUACCAACGGACAGAUUCCAGCUCCAUGAUGAACGGCUCCAGGUCAUUCAUAAAGCAGUGUUGACAUACAAAACUCAUAAGACGGUGAGCUCAACGUAGACUCUGUCAUAACC
This is a long non-coding RNA of Monopterus albus (swamp eel), 959 nucleotides long. RefSeq lists it as uncharacterized. Lineage: Eukaryota; Metazoa; Chordata; Actinopteri; Synbranchiformes; Synbranchidae. The transcript has 5 exons. The record is from RefSeq and is a predicted model, not a curated record.